CAGUCGAACGAGGAAUUUUAAAUGAGACUUCGGUGGAUUUUGGGAUUCCGCGUUGAGGACGGGUGAGUAACGCGUGGGCAACCUGCCCUGUACAGGGGGACAACAGCUGGAAACGGCUGCUAAUACCGCAUAAGCGCACAGUAUUGCAUGAUACAGUGUGAAAAACUCCGGUGGUACAGGAUGGGCCCGCGUUGGAUUAGGUAGUUGGUGGGGUAACGGCCUACCAAGCCGACGAUCCAUAGCCGACCUGAGAGGGUGACCGGCCACAUUGGGACUGAGACACGGCCCAAACUCCUACGGGAGGCAGCAGUGGGGAAUAUUGCACAAUGGGGGAAACCCUGAUGCAGCGACGCCGCGUGAGCGAAGAAGUAUUUCGGUAUGUAAAGCUCUAUCAGCAGGGAAGAAAAUGACGGUACCUGACUAAGAAGCACCGGCUAAAUACGUGCCAGCAGCCGCGGUAAUACGUAUGGUGCAAGCGUUAUCCGGAUUUACUGGGUGUAAAGGGAGCGCAGGCGGUGCGGCAAGUCUGAUGUGAAAGCCCGGGGCUCAACCCCGGUACUGCAUUGGAAACUGUCGUACUAGAGUGUCGGAGGGGUAAGCGGAAUUCCUAGUGUAGCGGUGAAAUGCGUAGAUAUUAGGAGGAACACCAGUGGCGAAGGCGGCUUACUGGACGAUAACUGACGCUGAGGCUCGAAAGCGUGNGGAGCAAACAGGAUUAGAUACCCUGNUAG
This 731-nucleotide ribosomal RNA is filed under the name uncultured bacterium. Its description in RNAcentral is "bacterial SSU rRNA". It matches the Rfam family "Bacterial small subunit ribosomal RNA", at positions 58 to 793 of the family's 1533-position model. The record is from RNAcentral.